This 1014-nucleotide long non-coding RNA is filed under the name Phasianus colchicus (ring-necked pheasant). RNAcentral's name for it is "lncRNA (ENSPCLG00000019724.1)". Lineage: Eukaryota; Metazoa; Chordata; Aves; Galliformes; Phasianidae. The record is from RNAcentral.
GGGGUCCUAUGGGAUCCUAUGGGAUCCUGUGGGGUCCUAUGGGGUUUUAUGGGGUCUUGUAGGGUCCGGUGGGGUUCUAUGGGGUUCUAUGGGGCUCCGUGGUGUCCUAUGGGGUCCUAUAGGAUCCUAUGGGGUUUUAUGGGGUCCUAUGGGGUCCUAUGGGGGCUCUGUGGAGUCCUAUGGGAUCCUAUAGGAUCCUAUGGGGUUUUAUGGGGUCCUAUGGGAGCUCUGUGGGAUCCUAUGGGAUCCUAUGGGGUCCUAUGGGGUUUUAUGGGGUCCUACGGGGUCCUAUGGGAUCCUAUGGGAGCUCUGUGGGGUCCUAUGGGGCUCUGUGGGAUCCUAUGGGAUCCUGUGGGGUCCUGUGGGGUCCUAUGGGGUCCUAUGGGGUUUUAUGGGGUCCUAUGGGGGCUCUGUGGGGUCCUAUGGGGUCCUAUGGGGUUUUAUGGGGUCCUAUGGGGGCUCUGUGGGAUCCUAUGGGGUCCUAUGGGGUUUUAUGGGGGCUCUGUGGGAAUCUNNGUCCUAUGGGAGCUCUGUGGGAUCCUAUGGGGUCCUAUGGGGUUUUAUGGGGUCCUAUGGGGGCUCUGUGGGAUCCCAUGGCAUCUUAUAGGAUCCUAUGGGGUCCUAUGGGGUUUUAUGGGGUCCUAAGGGGGCUCUGUGGGGUCCUAUGGGAUCCUAUGGGAUCCUAUGGGGCCCUAUGGGGUUCUUUGGGGUCCUGGCCCCCUAGAACUGGGCCCUAUAUGGGAGUUAUGGGUCCCGGAGCCACACGAUGGGUUCUGGGGGUCAGAAAUGGGAUCCUAUGGGGCUGGGACCCACAGAACGGGGCGCUGUGGGCUUUCUAUGGGGUUUCUAUGGGGUUUCUAUGGGGUUUCUUUGGGGUUUCUAUGGGUCCCAGACCCCAAGUCCUCCUAGUUUUCCCUCUGCCCCACAUCCCCACCCCACACAUCCCAGCCCCACAUCGGCGCCCCACAUCCCCGCCCCACACCCCAGCCCCACAUCCCCGCCCCACAUCCCAGC